UCAAGAUGGCGACUGUGGCUGUAGUCGGUGCAGGAAUCAUAGGGGUUACGACUGCUUUAUCGAUCUUAGAAAAGGACCCGAGUAUCAAAGUGAAAGUAUUUGCUGAUGAAUUUAGUCCUAAUACAACUUCUGAUGGUGCAGCAGGUCUUCUAAUGCCUUAUGUUAUGGCAGACACGCCAGAUUAUCUGCAAAGAAAAUGGUUUGGUACCACAUUGAAAACUAUGAAAGCCUUACUGGACUCUGAACAAGCCCCAAAGCUUGGGAUAUUCUUAAUUACUGCUUACUGUGUNCAUGACACUCCAAUUGAUAAGGAUUAUUCCUGGAAGGAUUUGGUGUAUUCCUACAGAAGAAUGACUAAACAAGAGCUAGAGGAGUUUCCUGCUCAACCUGCAAGAUUUGGAGUUACAUUCAAUACAAUCAUUUCACAAGGCGCAUUGUUGAUACCUUGGCUAAUGAACAGAGUGAGAAACCUUGGUGGUGAUUUUAUAAAACAGCAUAUUGCAUCAUUGAGUGAGCUGUCUGAGUAUGAUGUGAUUGUGAACUGUGCUGGCAUGGGUGCCAGACAACUUAUUGGUGAUACUGNACUCAAACCAGUCAGAGGACAAGUUUUAAGAAUUAAAGCACCAUGGAUAAAACACUUGUAUCUUUACCAUGUCGAAGAAGAGAGGGAUAAGGGACAAUCUACAUAUAUCAUUCCACAAAUGGAGUCCAUUGUUAUUGGAGGCACUGCACAGUUAAACAAUUUUAAUACAAAUCCAACAACCCAAGAUACAAAUAAUAUAAUUGCUNGUGUUAGUAGGAUUGUACCUAGCAUAAAGAAUGCACCUGUUUUGGCUAACUGGGCUGGCCUCCGUCCUAGUAGAUUCUGUGUCCGACUUGAGAAAGAGACAGUGCAGUGCAGAGACAAGUAUGGACNGAAAAAAACAUUGAAUGUGGUUCAUAAUUAUGGCCACGGUGGUGCUGGUUUGUCUGUUGGCUUUGGUUGNGCUGAUGAUUGUAGCCAACUUGUUCUUAAUGUCUUGGCUGCCAAAAGGGUAUCGAAGUUAUAACGUGUUUUCGUGAAUGGAUUUUUAUUAACAAUGAACCAGAACGCAAUCAAGAUGAGUUUAUUGAAACUACUUUCAUUCCGCUGUCAUGGCUAUACUGCAUGAAAGUACGAUUUGUGUAAAAUAAAACUUAAAUCAACCGUGUGAUAAAUGUCAUAACAAUAAAUGUCAUUUAUAUUUA
Molecule: unclassified non-coding RNA, 1227 nt
Filed under: Exaiptasia diaphana
Lineage: Eukaryota; Metazoa; Cnidaria; Anthozoa; Actiniaria; Aiptasiidae
Description: d-aspartate oxidase, transcript variant X2
Source: RNAcentral